GACGAACGCUGGCGGCGUGCUUAACACAUGCAAGUCGAACGGAAAGGCCCCUUUGGGGGUACUCGAGUGGCGAACGGGUGAGUAACACGUGAGUAACCUGCCCUUGACUUCGGGAUAACUUCAGGAAACUGGGGCUAAUACCGGAUAGGAAUCCUUGCUGCAUGGUGGGGGUUGGAAAGCUUCGGCGGUUUUGGAUGGACUCGCGGCUUAUCAGCUUGUUGGUGGGGUAGUGGCUUACCAAGGCUUUGACGGGUAGCCGGCCUGAGAGGGCGACCGGCCAAAUUGGGACUGAAAUACGGCCCAGACCCCUCCGGGAGGCAGAAGUGGGAAUAUUGCACAAUGGGCGGAAGCCUGAUGCAGCAACGCCGCGUGCGGGAUGACGGCCUUCGGGUUGUAAACCGCUUUCAGCAGGGGCGAAGCUUGUGGUGACGGUACCUGCAGAAGAAGCACCGGCUAACUACGUG
RNAcentral lists this ribosomal RNA (464 nucleotides) under uncultured bacterium. RNAcentral describes it as "partial 16S ribosomal RNA". It matches the Rfam family "Bacterial small subunit ribosomal RNA", at positions 28 to 507 of the family's 1533-position model. The record is from RNAcentral.